CACGUAGGGUGCGAGCGUUGUCCGGAAUUACUGGGCGUAAAGGGCUCGUAGGCGGCCAACUAAGUCAGACGUGAAAUCCCUCGGCUUAACCGGGGAACUGCGUCUGAUACUGGAUGGCUUGAAUCCGGGAGAGGGAUGCGGAAUUCCAGGUGUAGCGGUGAAAUGCGUAGAUAUCUGGAGGAACACCGGUGGCGAAGGCGGCAUCCUGGACCGGCAUUGACGCUGAGGAGCGAAAGCCAGGGGAGCAAACGGG
This 253-nucleotide ribosomal RNA is filed under the name uncultured bacterium. RNAcentral describes it as "partial 16S ribosomal RNA". It matches the Rfam family "Bacterial small subunit ribosomal RNA", at positions 524 to 776 of the family's 1533-position model. The record is from RNAcentral.